This 440-nucleotide ribosomal RNA is filed under the name uncultured bacterium. RNAcentral's name for it is "partial 16S ribosomal RNA". It matches the Rfam family "Bacterial small subunit ribosomal RNA", at positions 338 to 795 of the family's 1533-position model. The record is from RNAcentral.
CCUACGGGUGACAGCAGUGGGGGAUAUUGCACAAUGGGGGGAACCCUGAUGCAGCGACGCCGCGUGGGUGAAGAAGCGCCUCGGCGCGUAAAGCCCUGUCAGCAGGGAAGAAAAUGACGGUACCUGAAGAAGAAGCCCCGGCUAACUACGUGCCAGCAGCCGCGGUAAUACGUAGGGGGCAAGCCUUAUCCGGAUUUACUGGGGGGAAAGGGGGCGCAGACGGCGAUGCAAGCCAGGAGUGAAAGCCCGGGGCCCAACCCCGGGACUGCUCUUGGAACUGCGUGGCGGGAGUGCAGGAGGGGCAGGCGGAAUGCCUGGUGUAGCGGUGAAAUGCGUAGAUAUCAGGAGGAACACCGGUGGCGAAGGCGGCCUGCUGGACUGCAACUGACGUUGAGGCCCGAAAGCGUGGGGAGCAAACAGGAUUAGAUACCCCAGUAGUC